This 567-nucleotide ribosomal RNA is filed under the name uncultured bacterium. RNAcentral's name for it is "bacterial SSU rRNA". It matches the Rfam family "Bacterial small subunit ribosomal RNA", at positions 102 to 694 of the family's 1533-position model. The record is from RNAcentral.
AAGGGGCAGUAAGGCAUGGGUGACCUACCUUUGGGUUCGGGAUAGCCAUCAGAGAUGGUGGGUAUUACCGGAUGACGUCGUGAGACCAAAGAUUCAUCGCCCUCAGAGGGGCCCAUGUGAUAUUAGCUAGUUGGUGAGGUAACGGCUCACCAAGGCGAAGAUGUCUAGCGGGUGUGAGAGCACGACCCGCGCCACUCGCACUGAGACACUGGCGAGACACCUACGGGUGGCUGCAGUCGAGGAUCUUCGGCAAUGGGCGCAAGCCUGACCGAGCGACGCCGCGUGAGCGAUGAAGGCCUUCGGGUUGUAAAGCUCUUUAGUGGGGGAGAAAAGCCGAAAGGUGUGAUCUAUCCCAAAAAUAAGCACGGGCUAAGUUCGUGCCAGCAGCCGCGGUAAGACGAACCGUGCGAACGUUGUUCGGAAUCACUGGGCUUAAAGGGCGCGUAGGCGGGCUGUCAAGUCUGGGGUGAAAUCCCACGGCUCAACCGUGGAACGGCCUCAGAUACUGACGGCCUCGAGGAAGGUAGGGGCAUGCGGAACUGUAGGUGGAGCGGUGAAAUGCGUUGA